UGCAGUCGAGCGGAUGACGGGAGCUUGCUCCUUGAUUCAGCGGCGGACGGGUGAGUAAUGCCUAGGAAUCUGCCUGGUAGUGGGGGACAACGUUUCGAAAGGAACGCUAAUACCGCAUACGUCCUACGGGAGAAAGCAGGGGACCUUCGGGCCUUGCGCUAUCAGAUGAGCCUAGGUCGGAUUAGCUAGUAGGUGAGGUAAUGGCUCACCUAGGCGACGAUCCGUAACUGGUCUGAGAGGAUGAUCAGUCACACUGGAACUGAGACACGGUCCAGACUCCUACGGGAGGCAGCAGUGGGGAAUAUUGGACAAUGGGCGAAAGCCUGAUCCAGCCAUGCCGCGUGUGUGAAGAAGGUCUUCGGAUUGUAAAGCACUUUAAGUUGGGAGGAAGGGUUGUACGCUAAUACCGUGCAAUUUUGACGUUACCGACAGAAUAAGCACCGGCUAACUCUGUGCCAGCAGCCGCGGUAAUACAGAGGGUGCAAGCGUUAAUCGGAAUUACUGGGCGUAAAGCGCGCGUAGGUGGUUCGUUAAGUUGGAUGUGAAAGCCCCGGGCUCAACCUGGGAACUGCAUCCAAAACUGGCGAGCUAGAGUAUGGUAGAGGGUGGUGGAAUUUCCUGUGUAGCGGUGAAAUGCGUAGAUAUAGGAAGGAACACCAGUGGCGAAGGCGACCACCUGGACUGAUACUGACACUGAGGUGCGAAAGCGUGGGGAGCAAACAGGAUUAGAUACCCUGGUAGUCCACGCCGUAAACGAUGUCAACUAGCCGUUGGAAUCCUUGAGAUUUUAGUGGCGCAGCUAACGCAUUAAGUUGACCGCCUGGGGAGUACGGCCGCAAGGUUAAAACUCAAAUGAAUUGACGGGGGCCCGCACAAGCGGUGGAACAUGUGGUUUAAUUCGAAGCAACCCGAAAAACCUUACCAGGCCUUGACAUGCAAAGAACUUUCCAGAGAUGGAUUGGUGCCUUCGGGAACUCUGACACAGGUGCUGCAUGGCUGUCGUCAGCUCGUGUCCUGAGAUGUUGGGUUAAGUCCCGUAACGAGCGCAACCCUUGUCUUAGUUACCAGCACGUUAUGUGGGCAUCUAAGGAACUGCCGGU
RNAcentral lists this ribosomal RNA (1100 nucleotides) under Pseudomonas plecoglossicida. RNAcentral's name for it is "bacterial SSU rRNA". It matches the Rfam family "Bacterial small subunit ribosomal RNA", at positions 56 to 1156 of the family's 1533-position model. The record is from RNAcentral. Lineage: Bacteria; Pseudomonadati; Pseudomonadota; Gammaproteobacteria; Pseudomonadales; Pseudomonadaceae.